This is a long non-coding RNA of Homo sapiens (human), 1228 nucleotides long. Ensembl annotates it as peptidylprolyl isomerase E like (pseudogene). Its record names the gene PPIEL. NCBI's taxonomy places the organism in Eukaryota, Metazoa, Chordata, Mammalia, Primates, Hominidae. The record is from Ensembl.
GAAGCAAGAUGGCGGCCGCCGAGAGGGUUCACAAAGGGUAGGGUGGUGUGGAGCAAGGCAGGGUCCUCGCAGGCAGUGCCAAGAUUGAGCUGGGGGUGGGCAGAGUGGGCGGGGUGCGGACCCAUGGCCCUACGCAUCCUGGGCCAGGUCUCUUGUGGUGCUUCACGCUCUCGACCUGUGAGUGGUGCCUGCUAGAGCUGCCCAGAUCCCUUUUCCCUACCCCUUCUGACCCUGGACCCAGAGUGGUGGUUGCGAUCUGCUACCGUGACGUCAGCCCUCAUUCGUUCGUUCCACAAACUCCACAGCUCUGGUCCAUUAGAGGAAGGAGGUCCCAGAAUAGCUGGGAAAUUACGAGAACAGCCUCACUGCACGAGUUGGUGAAUGCUGUGAUGGCGAUUGUAUGAUGGACGGUGAUGUUGAAACCAGACUGGGGAAUGACCGCCCCAUCCGGAGAGAAAAGCACCAAGGAUUCUCUUUUGUUGAAUUUGAGUUGGCAGAGUUUGGUCAGAUGAAGACUGGGUGGAGAAGUUUGCUGGGAAGAGGAUAAAGAGGAAGGUGGUUGAGACUUCCCAAAGCAGAAAGCCAGGAGCGCAGCCCAUUUACUGCCUUCUCCAGGAAGCUUUUCUGAAUCCUCCAGUGAGUAAGGGAGAGCCCACUGCUAAAAAAGGCCUAGUCAAAUCCUCAGGUGUACAUGGACAUCAAGAUUGGGAACAAGCCGGCUGGCUGCAUCCAAACCCUCCUGCGUUCCGACGUCGUGCCCAUGACCACAGAGAAUUUUCUCUACAUGUGCACCCAUUUAAAGGACUCGGCUUCAAGGGAAGCAGCUUCCACCGCAUUAUCCCCCAGUUCAUUUGCCAGGGCAGUGAUUUCACAAACCACGGUGGCACCAGGGGUCUGCGCAGGCAUGGCACUAAGUGUCCCAUGGCACAUUUGGCCCUCAUGGAGGCCUCAAAAGGGCAGGACCAGCACCCUCUUCUACGGAGGAAGGAACGGGCACAGCAGAAACAAGGAGAGUCAGCAAUUACCAGCCAGCCAAGGUCCUGGAAGCUGACGUAGAGCUCGUGCCGACGGCAGACCUGCCGGCCGUGGGAGCCGCGGACGUCAUCUGCAGGGACAGAAGGGGCAAGGUCUUUUCUGGGGUUCCUGCUGUGUGCAGCUACUAUGGGGUACCAGGGUGGGGGAUGCCCUGAUGAGCACAUUUGUCAAAUAAAUGAAUGACAGGAAACCA